CAGUCGUGAGGAAGGUAGUGUAGUUAAUAGCUGCAUUAUUUGACGUUAGCGACAGAAGAAGCACCGGCUAACUCCGUGCCAGCAGCCGCGGUAAGUACGGAGGGUGCGAGCGUUAAUCGGAAUUACUGGGCGUAAAGCGCAUGCAGGUGGUUUGUUAAGUCAGAUGUGAAAGACCCGGGGCGUCAACCUACGGAAUAGCAUUUAGUAAACUAGGCAGACUAGAGUACUGUAGAGGGGGGUAGGAAUUUCAGGUGUAGCGGUGAAAUGCGUAGAGAUCUGAAGGAAUACCGGUGGCGAAGGCGGCCCCCUGGACAGAUACUGACACUCAGAUGCGAAAGCGUGGGGAGCAAACAGGAUUAGAUACCCUGGUAG
This 372-nucleotide ribosomal RNA is filed under the name uncultured bacterium. Its description in RNAcentral is "bacterial SSU rRNA". It matches the Rfam family "Bacterial small subunit ribosomal RNA", at positions 434 to 793 of the family's 1533-position model. The record is from RNAcentral.